AGCAUAUCAAUAAGCGGAGGAAAAGAAACCAACAGGGAUUGCCCUAGUAACGGCGAGUGAAGCGGCAACAGCUCAAAUUUGAAAUCUGGCUCUUUUAGAGUCCGAGUUGUAAUUUGCAGAGGGCGCUUUGGCGUUGGCAGCGGUCCAAGUUCUUUGGAACAGGACGUCACAGAGGGUGAGAAUCCCGUACGUGGUCGCUAGCCUUCGCCGUGUAAAGCCCCUUCGACGAGUCGAGUUGUUUGGGAAUGCAGCUCUAAAUGGGAGGUAAAUUUCUUCUAAAGCUAAAUACUGGCCAGAGACCGAUAGCGCACAAGUAGAGUGAUCGAAAGAUGAAAAGCACUUUGGAAAGAGAGUCAAAUAGCACGUGAAAUUGUUGAAAGGGAAGCGCUUGCAGCCAGACUUGCCUGUAGUUGCUUAUCCGGACUUUUGUCCGGUGCACUCUUCUGCGGGCAGGCCAGCAUCAGUUUAGGCGGUUGGAUAAAGGUCUCUAUCACGUACCUCCCUUCGGGGUUGGCCUUAUAGGGGAGACGACAUGCAACCAGCCUGAACUGAGGUCCGCGCAUCUGCUAGGAUGCUGGCGUAAUGGCUGUAAGCGGCCCGUCUUGAAACACGGACCAAGGAGUCUAACAUCUAUGCGAGUGUUUGGGUGUCAAGCCCAGACGCGUAAUGAAAGUGAACGGAGGUGGGAACCUUUUAGGUGCACCAUCGACCGAUCCUGAUGUCUUCGGAUGGAUUUGAGUAAGAGCAUGGCUGUUGGGACCCGAAAGAUGGUGAACUAUGCUUGAAUAGGGUGAAGCCAGAGGAAACUCUGGUGGAGGCUCGCAGCGGUUCUGACGUGCAAAUCGAUCGUCAAAUUUGGGCAUAGGGGCGAAAG
Molecule: ribosomal RNA, 874 nt
Filed under: Phaeosphaeria culmorum
Lineage: Eukaryota; Fungi; Ascomycota; Dothideomycetes; Pleosporales; Phaeosphaeriaceae
Description: partial large subunit ribosomal RNA
Rfam family: Eukaryotic large subunit ribosomal RNA
Source: RNAcentral